This 193-nucleotide small nuclear RNA is filed under the name Colletotrichum orchidophilum. RNAcentral describes it as "U2 spliceosomal RNA". It matches the Rfam family "U2 spliceosomal RNA". From Rfam's summary of the family: U2 is a small nuclear RNA (snRNA) component of the spliceosome (involved in pre-mRNA splicing). Complementary binding between U2 snRNA (in an area lying towards the 5' end but 3' to hairpin I) and the branchpoint sequence (BPS) of the intron results the bulging out of an unpaired adenosine, on the BPS, which initiates a nucleophilic attack at the intronic 5' splice site, thus starting the first of two transesterification reactions that mediate splicing. Lineage: Eukaryota; Fungi; Ascomycota; Sordariomycetes; Glomerellales; Glomerellaceae. The record is from Rfam by way of RNAcentral.
UCAGCUCUCUUCGCCUUUUGGCUUAGAUCAAGUGUAGUAUCUGUUCUUUUCAGUUUAAUCUCUGAAAGGUCUCCAAGGAGACCAAUCGUGAUUAUUCCUAUUUUUGGUCGCGGGGGGAGCCCUCUGUGCUUGCACACGGCUCCUCCCACUGUGUCCCUGGUAUUACACUGCUUCCAGGCGACGCGAAUUUUUC